Salvia miltiorrhiza (redroot sage) is the source of this 2191-nucleotide RNA transcript. It is a transcript of the gene named probable acyl-[acyl-carrier-protein]--UDP-N-acetylglucosamine O-acyltransferase, mitochondrial, with no coding region annotated. NCBI's taxonomy places the organism in Eukaryota, Viridiplantae, Streptophyta, Magnoliopsida, Lamiales, Lamiaceae. The record is from RefSeq and is a predicted model, not a curated record. The transcript is spliced from 14 exons.
UUUUUUUUUUUUUUUUUUUUUUCACGAUCAGUUUUCUUUUGCUCUUUCCGAGGUUUGGGGUUUGGGACUUCCUACGAACAAUGGUGCGGUUGGAGUUUCUGAGGUUGUUUCGUCUCCGCCUCCUCUCGAAGUAUCUUUCUUGUUUUAUCUUUUUUUAGAUAGGUACUCUUUUUAUUCUCCGUGGUUUUUCUUUUGGGUUUUUCUGUAGAGAUUUUAAUGAAGUUCCAUCCUUAAUUCGCGUUUCUGGUUCUUCUGACUACCGUCCAUCUACCGCUCUUUCUGUCUGUGCCGUCCGCUGGUCGCCGCCGCUAUCGGCCCCGCCUCGAAUCUCUCCGUCCAAGCGCUAAGGAGGCAGCACAGCAGCAGUGUGCAGGCUCGCCCCGCCCCCCCUCUCUACCUCUCUCUCUCUCUCUCUUCUCCGUCCUCUCUCCGCAGCCCCCGCCUCCUCCGGUCGCGCGUGGCCACCCCUGGCCUCGCCCGUCAGCACAGCAGUUUCCAACGCCCAAGUUCUAAAGCAGAUUACACAUUACACACUGGUGGCGGGAAAAGGCACCAUACAUGCCAAUUCUUGCCUUUUAUAUAGAUAGAUGAAUCGAUGAAUGCCGGUGAAUCCUUAAAUUUUGGUAAAGAUGGCUUUGCUUCUCGGAAUUCGAAGGCCAUUCUCUGUUGCAGUUCAACGGCUCCACCUCCAAUGCUUCUCCACUUCGCUUCCCUAUGUUAAGGAGGAGCAGAAAAUGAGUUCUAUGGAAACAGGUGGCAAGUCAAGUUUUAUUCAUCCAUCCGCCGUUGUUCAUCCAGAUGCCAUAUUAGGUCAGGGUGUUUCUGUUGGUCCUUUUUGCACAGUUGGAUCUUCUGCAAAGUUAGGGAACGGUUGUCAGUUAUACCCAGGGAGCCACGUCUGUGGACAUACAAAGAUAGGGGACGACUGCACUUUGAUGAUGGGCGCUGUAGUUGGUGAUGAUCUUCCUGGUAGUACUGUUAUUGGAAAUAACAAUUUAAUUGGGCAUCAUGCUGUGGUAGGCAUUAAAUGUCAAGAUUUGAAAUAUAAGCCAGGAAAUGAAUGUUUUCUUGAGAUUGGGGACAAUAAUGAGAUCAGAGAAUAUGUAUCUAUCCAUAGAUCUUCACGCCCAGACGAAAGAACAAUCAUUGGCGCUAACAAUCUCAUAAUGGGGUCUUGUCACAUCGCACAUGACUGCAAAAUGGGUAACCAUAACAUUUUCGCAAAUAACACUCUGUUAGCCGGCCAUGUAAAUGUGGAGAAUUAUACUCACACAGCAGGGGCCACCGUUGUACAUCAGUUUUGUCAUAUUGGUUCUUUUUCUUUCAUUGGUGGCGGGUCAGUGGUUUCUCAAGAUGUACCCAAAUACACAAUGGUGUCUGGUGAACGAGCUGAGCUACGUGGAUUAAAUCUUGAAGGCCUAAGGCGCCGUGGGUUUUCAGUUGGGGAGAUAAAGAGCCUGAGAGCAGCUUAUCGAAAAAUAUUUAUGCCUAGUGAAGGUAGUUCUCAUAGCAUUGAAGACCGGCUGGCCGAAUUGGAGAAGGAUGAGGAACUGGGCCAAGUUGCAGCCGUCCGUUCGAUGGUAGAAUCCAUUCGGGAUUCUUUUGCAGAGGAUCGCCGUGGUAUUUGCAAGUUUAGGUGACGGAUUGGAUUAUAAUAUUGAAUGCUAGAUGUCAUCAACCAGUGCCAUAAUGUUGAUCUGGCAAAAACCUGAGGCUUUUUUCUUGUAUAACAGAAUUUCAGUCAAGGCAUUCAAGAUUUUUAGUUUGGGACAAACUAGUUUGAGCAUGUAAAUUUUGCAUCCACCAAUUUGAAUGCAUGAUCUAUCCAUUUGGAUUCUGCAAGUAUAUCCCCAACAUAAGAAAGAAGGUAAACGUUCGCAAAUUCUCUUGAUGGAUUUUGGUGAUAUAUUACAGUGUGGGCAUGAUUAGAAAGCUACUGUCGUGAGGUUAUCUCAAUGCAUUGUGGGUGGUGAUGACAUUUCUAAAAUUUUAGGUAGCGCACUGUUUUUUUUUUUUUUUUUUUUUUGAGCGAAAUGUAGCUCACUGUUAAAUGUAAAGUAAAGCAUGGGAAAUAGAAGAGAGAGAAGAGGCAGUAGAAAUGAGAGAAGAUAUUUACAUUCUUCAAAACUGAUUUUCAGAGAUGGAAGGGGCAUUAGAAAUGAGAGAAGAUAUUUUCAUUCUUCAAAAUUGA